GUGAAGGUGCAGUCGUGGCGGGCGUCGGGGUCCGACAGCGCCUGCUCGCCGAAGUGGCUGCCGUCCGCGAGCACCGCGGUGGUGAUCUCACCUCCGUACUUGCCCUCGGUGGUCUGGCUGACGCGGCCGUGGGCGAUGAGGUGGAUGCGGUCUGCGGGGCCGCCGCGUGCGACGAGGACCUCACCCGCCGCGAAGUCACGUUGCGUACAACGGUCGGCGAGGGCGGUGAGGACGUCCGUGUCCGUGAAGCCGCGCAGCAGGGCCAGCUCGGUGAGUUCUCCGGGGAUCACCCGGACCCGGGCGCCCUCCUGGACGAACUCGAUGCGGCCGUCGCCGAGCGUGUGGCGCAACCGUCGGUUGACCCGGUAGGCGCCGCCUGCGGCCUCGACCCAGGGCAGCAUGCGCAGCAGCCAGCGGGAGGUGAUCUCCUGCAUCUGCGGGACGGACUUGGUGGUGCUGGCGAGGUUGCGGGCAGCCGCGGUACCCAGGGACUGCUGCGGCGUCUCGG
RNAcentral lists this antisense RNA (508 nucleotides) under Streptomyces coelicolor A3(2). RNAcentral's name for it is "Saccharopolyspora sRNA 350". It matches the Rfam family "Saccharopolyspora sRNA 350". Lineage: Bacteria; Bacillati; Actinomycetota; Actinomycetes; Kitasatosporales; Streptomycetaceae. The record is from Rfam by way of RNAcentral.